RNAcentral lists this transfer RNA (72 nucleotides) under Nitzschia ovalis. RNAcentral's name for it is "tRNA-Phe". It matches the Rfam family "tRNA". From Rfam's summary of the family: Transfer RNA (tRNA) molecules are approximately 80 nucleotides in length. Their secondary structure includes four short double-helical elements and three loops (D, anti-codon, and T loops). The record is from RNAcentral. Lineage: Eukaryota; Bacillariophyta; Bacillariophyceae; Bacillariales; Bacillariaceae.
GCCCGGAUAGCUCAGUGGUAGAGCAGUGGAUUGAAGAUCCUCGUGUCACCAGUUCGACUCUGGUUCUGGGCA